Pisolithus tinctorius Marx 270 is the source of this 85-nucleotide non-coding RNA. The record is from Rfam. NCBI's taxonomy places the organism in Eukaryota, Fungi, Basidiomycota, Agaricomycetes, Boletales, Pisolithaceae.
ACGAGUAUGCCGUAAUUUGGUAGCCGGGUGAAUCUUAGGAAUUCAUGUUAAUUCUAACGUAAGAGUUCAAAUCUCUUUACUCGUA